CACAGCCGCGGUAAUACAGAGGGUGCAAGCGUUAAUCGGAAUUACUGGGCGUAAAGCGCGCGUAGGUGGUUCGUUAAGUUGGAUGUGAAAUCCCCGGGCUCAACCUGGGAACUGCAUUCAAAACUGACGAGCUAGAGUAUGGUAGAGGGUGGUGGAAUUUCCUGUGUAGCGGUGAAAUGCGUUGAGAUCGGAAAGAACACCAACGGCGAAAGCACUCUGCUGGGCCGACACUGACACUGAGAGACGAAAGCUAGGGGAGCAAAUGGGAUUAGAGACCCGCGUAGUCCCUGUCUCUUAUACA
Molecule: ribosomal RNA, 301 nt
Filed under: uncultured bacterium
Lineage: Bacteria
Description: partial 16S ribosomal RNA
Rfam family: Bacterial small subunit ribosomal RNA
Source: RNAcentral